RNAcentral lists this unclassified non-coding RNA (216 nucleotides) under uncultured fungus. RNAcentral describes it as "sequence contains ITS1, 5.8S rRNA gene". The stretch from base 168 to 216 matches the Rfam family "5.8S ribosomal RNA", at positions 1 to 49 of the family's 154-position model. The record is from RNAcentral. Lineage: Eukaryota; Fungi.
UCUCCGUUGGUGAACCAGCGGAGGGAUCAUUAAAGAGUGUAAAAACUCCCAAACCCAUGUGAACCUACCACUGUUGCCUCGGUGGGCGGCCCCUGCGGACGCCUGCCGACGGACAAACAAAACUCUUUUAAUUCAGUAUCUCUGAGUACAACUUUUAAAUAAGUAAAAACUUUCAACAACGGAUCUCUUGGUUCUGGCAUCGAUGAAGAACGCAGC